UGAGGAAUAUUGCCCAAUGGACGCAAGUCUGAGGCAGCGACGCCGCGUGGGUGAAGAAGGCCUUCGGGUCGUAAAGCCCUUUUCUGUGUGACGAGAACGGACGGUAGCACAGGAAAAAGUCUCGGCUAACUACGCGCCAGCAGCCGCGGUAAAACGUAGGAGGCAAGCGUUAUCCGGAGUUACUGGGCGUAAAGCGUGCGUAGGCGGGUCGGUAAGUGGGUCGUGAAAGCGCCGGGCUAAACCGGGCGAGGACGAACUAGACUGCCGGUCGAGAGGCAGAUAGAGGGGUGCGGAAUUCCGGGUGUAGCGGUGAAAUGUGUAGAGAUCCGGAGGAACACCAGUGGUGCAAACGGCGCCCUGGGUCCGAACUGACGCUGAGGCACGAAAGCGUGGGGAGCGAACG
Molecule: ribosomal RNA, 403 nt
Filed under: uncultured bacterium
Lineage: Bacteria
Description: bacterial SSU rRNA
Rfam family: Bacterial small subunit ribosomal RNA
Source: RNAcentral